AACAGAGGGUGCAAGCGUUGCUCGGAAUCAUUGGGCGUAAAGGGUAGGUAGGUGGUCUCAUUUGUCUGGGGUGAAAGCCCAGGGCUUAACCCUGGAAGUGCCCCGGAAACGGUGAGACUGGAGUCCUGGAGAGGGUCGUGGAAUUCCCGGUGUAGCGGUGAAAUGCGUAGAGAUCCGGAAGAACACCGGUGGCGAAGGCGGUCUGCUGGGCAGUUGCUGACACUGAGGCGCGACAGCGUGGGGAGCAAACAGG
RNAcentral lists this ribosomal RNA (253 nucleotides) under uncultured bacterium. RNAcentral describes it as "partial 16S ribosomal RNA". It matches the Rfam family "Bacterial small subunit ribosomal RNA", at positions 524 to 776 of the family's 1533-position model. The record is from RNAcentral.